AGUCAUCGAUGGCAGAGGUCAUAAGUCAUAUGAAUAUAUGAUGAAUGGCACUGCCAGACGAUAUGCAUCGUGAAUGUGUUCGUGGCCACUCAGCAGGGUGAGAGGUGGAAAAAACUCAUCCCUACGCCUACUGUUGAGUCCUCAUAAGGAACAUAUGUUGUAUCAUAUGGCCUUGUGAGGCGUGCAUCCAUCGAUGAUAUGAUGUGGUGCAUGGGCCCUUACUCUCUUUCAUCCCUUGAGAAUGCGUGCAUCAUGUGUAUCACAUCCUCUGUUAGAGGUACCUCAGCUUCGGGCUGAGCCUUAAAUCGUAUAUGGACAACUUUCAACAACGGAUAUCUUGGCUCUCAGAUCGAUGAAGAACGCAGCGAAAUGCGAUAUGUAGUGUGAAUUGCAGAAAUACGUGAAUCAUCAAAUUUUUGAACGCAAAUUGCGCUUGAGGCUUCGGCCAAGAGCAUGUCUGCCUCAGCGUCGGGCUUUCCUUCACCAUAUUGCAAAGAGGGGGCGAUCAAUAGAUUAUCCCUCGAUAUACUUUGCAUGUGGUGGAUGUGGCCGUCCCAGCAUGUGGUCAUUCUUCCUUUGGGGUGAUAUGACUCGUCUGGGUUGGCUGAAGUGUAGAUGCUGAACUGUGGACCGUUAUAUGGGCCUCUACUAGGUAGGCAAUGAAUUAUGUUUUGCUUUGACCUUACAGUAGAUGGCUCAGGAGCACAAGGUUCGGUUGAAUGCGCAGGAAUACUUUUGCUUUUGCACAAGUACAGAUAAUAUGAUAAUUUACUCGACCUGAGCUCAGGCAAGA
Molecule: small RNA, 793 nt
Filed under: Volvox africanus
Lineage: Eukaryota; Viridiplantae; Chlorophyta; Chlorophyceae; Chlamydomonadales; Volvocaceae
Description: eukaryotic LSU rRNA
Rfam family: 5.8S ribosomal RNA (bases 318-471)
Source: RNAcentral